AACGUAGGGGACAAGCGUUAUCCGGAUUUACUGGGCGUAAAGCGCCCGUAGGCGGCCUGACAAGUUGGACGUGAAAGCUCCUGGCUUAACUGGGAGAGGCCGUUCAAAACUGUCAAGCUAGAGUCUGGAAGAGGAGAGCGGAAUUCCCGGUGUAGUGGUGGAAUGCGUAGAUAUCGGGAGGAACACCAGCGGCGAAGGCGGCUUUCUGGACCAAUACUGACGCUGAGACGCGAAAGCGUGGGGAGCAAACAGG
This 253-nucleotide ribosomal RNA is filed under the name uncultured bacterium. Its description in RNAcentral is "partial 16S ribosomal RNA". It matches the Rfam family "Bacterial small subunit ribosomal RNA", at positions 524 to 776 of the family's 1533-position model. The record is from RNAcentral.